GGUUACAGCUGAUAACGUCACUGCAGAAACGUAGCAUCCCCAUCAGGUAAACACUGAUAGCUCUGUAAGCACCGUUGCUAUUGUUUGCAUUCUUAGCGCUAAUAACACCCUGAGCGGCUAGCCGCUGGCUCAGCAGUCCCCAUGUUGAGAGCUGUGUGGAGGCAAUCCCUCCCCCGGUCAUAUGAUGUGAUCUAAUAGGGUCGAAAAUGCACUUUUCAUUUCAUUACUUAAAGUACAAUUUCGAGGAACUCUUACUUUUGUUGCGUAUUUACAUUUCAUGCUACUUUAUACUUCUACUCCACUAUCUUUCGGUAGGAAGUGUUGUACUUUCCACAUUUAUUUCACAGCUGUAGUUACUACUAACUUUUCAUAUUAUGCUUUUACAACACAUGAUAAGCUCAUAAAAUAUUCUGAAUUGUUAAAGAUUAAACCACGUAUCAGAUCUCUGAGUUGUUAGCUGUUCCACCAAACAGACAUUUUCCCCCCUGAACCUCUCACAUUGUUUGAAGCCCAAAAACGUCCAACUAUCCUACUUUUAGCAUGAAUAUAGAAGCAAAGAUUAGAGAAAAGUCGUUGCGAAGCAGACCUUUGUUUUGUUUGGAAACAGAUUGUUAUUGGACCGUGGGGUUUGGCUCUAAUCCAGAUACCACGUACUCAGACUUGGGUCUGCUUGGAUGGUGCCUUGACAUCUAUACUUUAAUAACACAAGCUUUGGAGAAAUGAACAUUUUUCCCCAAUGGGGGGAAAAAUGUCUGCUGUCAAGUUCAUAAUGAUACUGACUCUCGACCCCUCAGAUUUAGCUCGUGACUUUUUGGAGCUAACUGGAUCUAAAGUAGUUAAAACUAGCUCCAACUUGAGCAGCUACAACAGUAACAUACUGCUCCGAAUUUGAUACAUCAGUAUUAACAAUCUGAUAAUGUCUUACAUACUAAUAUUUCAGUCACAGGGGACAUUUUAAUUGCAUAACCACUGCUUUGACUGAUACUAAGUACAUUUAGUUUAAAAUACUGCUACUUGUAGGGGAGUAUUUUAUCGAUACUUACUUUGACUUAAGUAAAGGAUCUUCUACCGCUGCUGUUAGGGUCUGUUUGGGUUGAACACAUUUUGGAUUGGGUCUAGUAUCCUUGAGUAAGGUCUGAUGUGCCCACAUCCGAUCAGGUCUUUCUAUUUGUAAAAACUAUUCACGCAGUCAGGUGUUAGUAGGUUUACCAUGGGUCUGUUUUGGAUUGUGAGGACCUCUAGUCAGACUGAGCUAAUGUUAAAAAGUGCACAGCUGUCAACAAUUUCAUUAGGGCUCAUCAGUCUGAUAUCAAAACCUUGUUAGACAUGAUAUACUGUACCAUCAGUUUAUAAGCGCUGUUAGCACCAGAAGCUGCUAGCCGCCGGCUCAGCCGUCGCCAUGUUGAGAGCCGUGUUGAGACAACAGACAUGCUCUGGAUAUCGUUUUGAGCACCUUUAAAAACAACUGAACAAAAUGUCCCUUCAUUUUGUUUCAAGAUGGAAAAAGAAACUGUAAAUAUCCCUCAUUAUUAUCAAUGGGAAGGAUCUUUCCCACAGAUUUUAAUUAUAUUUUCUAUUUACUUACUUUUGACAACAUUGGUUUUCAUAUCAUUUCAUCUUUAUCUCAUCAAACUUUAUGAAACGUUUGUACGUUCAUGCUACUUGCAUAGAUAUUUGCAUUGGACCAUAUAGAUCAUGUGGUAUUUGUGUUGGUUCUGAAAGGUUGAUCCAAAUUUCCAAAAACUAAUUUGAAUUUUAGCUAUCUAGUUCUUGGAUUUUGGAGAGAUAUCUUCCUUUUUACAAAUGUUUGGACUGUUUUAGGCCUCAAUUACACCGAGACGCGCCGCUAGAAAGGCCUCGCGCGUUUUUUUGUCGCUUUUUCAACCCACAUAAAAGUUUUUCUAAUAAUAGAAAAAAGCUUUUCAGAGCCAGACGCAGAGUCGCACCGCUCUUCAAUGUCACAGUUGGCCCAGACAGCUAAUCGAAUCAAGCAAGAAGCAAGCUUUACUACCACUGACUUCCUAAUUUUGAUGCCGGUAGAUGUGGUAGGGCUAGCUAGCUAGUUAGCUGUUGGGCUGUGAGAGAACUACGGAUUAUGUGAGAGGGAAGGGAGGAAUGCGUAUCCUAUGUCUGUCACAAACCCUCCUGUGACCCUUAUCAAUCAACGAAACAUGUCUGGUUUGUUUAGGAGCAGAGCAGGUUUUGCUGCUGGCUCGACGGACUGACCUGAGGAGAAUCUCAUUGGACCUGCCAGACUUCACUGACAUAGUACUCCAGGUUGAUGACAUUCGCCAUGCCAUCGCAAUAGACUAUGACCCGGUCGAGGGUUACGUCUAUUGGACGGACGAUGAGGUUCGGGCCAUCCGGCGAUCCCACAUCGAUGGCAGCAAUGCCGUGAUGCUGGUUACUACGGAGAUCAACCACCCGGACGGUAUAGCUGUGGACUGGGUGGCCAGAAACCUAUACUGGACCGACACUGGCACUGACCGGAUUGAGGUCACCAGGCUGAAUGGAACAUCUCGGAAAAUUUUGAUAUCCGAGAACCUGGAUGAACCCAGAGCUAU
Molecule: long non-coding RNA, 2564 nt
Organism: Anarrhichthys ocellatus (wolf-eel)
Lineage: Eukaryota; Metazoa; Chordata; Actinopteri; Perciformes; Anarhichadidae
Exons: 3
Source: RefSeq, a predicted model, not a curated record